GGCCUCGUAACUCAGUGGUUCGAGCACUGGCCUUGUAAACCAGGGGUUGUGAGUUCAAUUCUCACUGAGGCCU
Molecule: non-coding RNA, 73 nt
Organism: Hippocampus comes (tiger tail seahorse)
Lineage: Eukaryota; Metazoa; Chordata; Actinopteri; Syngnathiformes; Syngnathidae
Source: the annotation of a RefSeq genome assembly